RNAcentral lists this ribosomal RNA (1343 nucleotides) under uncultured bacterium. RNAcentral describes it as "16S ribosomal RNA". It matches the Rfam family "Bacterial small subunit ribosomal RNA", at positions 28 to 1378 of the family's 1533-position model. The record is from RNAcentral.
GACGAACGCUGGCGGCGUGCUUAACACAUGCAAGUCGAACGGAAAGGCCCUGCUUUUGUGGGGUGCUCGAGUGGCGAACGGGUGAGUAACACGUGAGUAACCUGCCCUUGACUUUGGGAUAACUUCAGGAAACUGGGGCUAAUACCGGAUAGGAGCUCCUGCUGCAUGGUGGGGGUUGGAAAGUUUCGGCGGUUGGGGAUGGACUCGCGGCUUAUCAGCUUGUUGGUGGGGUAGUGGCUUACCAAGGCUUUGACGGGUAGCCGGCCUGAGAGGGUGACCGGCCACAUUGGGACUGAGAUACGGCCCAGACUCCUACGGGAGGCAGCAGUGGGGAAUAUUGCACAAUGGGCGGAAGCCUGAUGCAGCAACGCCGCGUGCGGGAUGACGGCCUUCGGGUUGUAAACCGCUUUCGCCUGUGACGAAGCGUGAGUGACGGUAAUGGGUAAAGAAGCACCGGCUAACUACGUGCCAGCAGCCGCGGUGAUACGUAGGGUGCGAGCGUUGUCCGGAUUUAUUGGGCGUAAAGGGCUCGUAGGUGGUUGAUCGCGUCGGAAGUGUAAUCUUGGGGCUUAACCCUGAGCGUGCUUUCGAUACGGGUUGACUUGAGGAAGGUAGGGGAGAAUGGAAUUCCUGGUGGAGCGGUGGAAUGCGCAGAUAUCAGGAGGAACACCAGUGGCGAAGGCGGUUCUCUGGGCCUUUCCUGACGCUGAGGAGCGAAAGCGUGGGGAGCGAACAGGCUUAGAUACCCUGGUAGUCCACGCUGUAAACGGUGGGUACUAGGUGUGGGGUCCAUUCCACGGGUUCCGUGCCGUAGCUAACGCUUUAAGUACCCCGCCUGGGGAGUACGGCCGCAAGGCUAAAACUCAAAGGAAUUGACGGGGCCCCGCACAAGCGGCGGAGCAUGCGGAUUAAUUCGAUGCAACGCGUAGAACCUUACCUGGGUUUGACAUGGAUCGGGAGUGCUCAGAGAUGGGUGUGCCUCUUUUGGGGUCGGUUCACAGGUGGUGCAUGGCUGUCGUCAGCUCGUGUCGUGAGAUGUUGGGUUAAGUCCCGCAACGAGCGCAACCCUUGUUCACUGUUGCCAGCACGUUAUGGUGGGGACUCAGUGGAGACCGCCGGGGUCAACUCGGAGGAAGGUGGGGAUGACGUCAAGUCAUCAUGCCCCUUAUGUCCAGGGCUUCACGCAUGCUACAAUGGCUGGUACAGAGAGUGGCGAGCCUGUGAGGGUGAGCGAAUCUCGGAAAGCCGGUCUCAGUUCGGAUUAGGGUCUGCAACUCGACCUCAUGAAGUCGGAGUCGCUAGUAAUCGCAGAUCAGCAACGCUGCGGUGAAUACGUUCCCGGG